This 228-nucleotide ribosomal RNA is filed under the name uncultured bacterium. RNAcentral describes it as "partial 16S ribosomal RNA". It matches the Rfam family "Bacterial small subunit ribosomal RNA", at positions 568 to 795 of the family's 1533-position model. The record is from RNAcentral.
UGCGUAGGCGGAUUAAUAAGUCAGUGGUGAAAGCCUCUCGCUCAACGGGAGAACUGCCAUUGAUACUGUUAGUCUUGAGUAUGGUUGAGGUGGGCGGAAUGUGUCAUGUAGCGGUGAAAUGCUUAGAUAUGACACAGAACACCAAUUGCGAAGGCAGCUCGCUAAGCCAUAACUGACGCUGAGGCACGAAAGCGUGGGGAGCGAACAGGAUUAGAUACCCUGGUAGUC